AUGCAGGUGCUGUGAACUGGCUCUGAUAGCCACCUGAGGCUUAAAUGGGCUCUUGCUCCACAAAACAGGCUGGUUGGGUUGGUUCUUCUGAGUUUCUGUUUCCUGGGCUGAGGACUUCUUAUCUGGAUUUGCUGAGAGGCUCAGCUUUCAUGCUUUGUUUCACAGCCCGUGGGUGACCGGAUCUCAACCUGGCACUGGCCACAAACAGCCCUGGCACUCCUGGAAAAUCACGGAGAAUAUCCAGCACCAGAUGUGCAAUUAUUUCCAUCUGCUGGCUCUUGAACCAAAUCCAGACUUGUCUGAAGAUUAUAGCUGCCAAGGAAGGAUGCCCACUCACUCCCUUCCCCUGAAAGGUGGAGCCUUACUUGGUCGAGUGCUGACAC
Long non-coding RNA from Pogoniulus pusillus (Red-fronted tinkerbird), 383 nucleotides. RefSeq lists it as uncharacterized. NCBI's taxonomy places the organism in Eukaryota, Metazoa, Chordata, Aves, Piciformes, Lybiidae. The record is from RefSeq and is a predicted model, not a curated record. The transcript has 3 exons.